Molecule: ribosomal RNA, 154 nt
Organism: Protopterus annectens (West African lungfish)
Lineage: Eukaryota; Metazoa; Chordata; Ceratodontiformes; Protopteridae
Product: 5.8S ribosomal RNA
Exons: 1
Source: RefSeq, a predicted model, not a curated record
GAUUUUGAGCAGUGGAUCACUCAGCUCAUGCGUUGAUGAAAAACUUAGCUAGCUGCGAGAACUAAUGUGAAUUGCAGGACACAUAGAUCAUUGACACUUUGAACUCAAUUUGCGGUCCUGGGUUACUCCCAGGGCUAUGCCUGUCUGAGGGGCU